UCGGGAAUAUUGCGCAAUGGAGGAAACUCUGACGCAGUGACGCCGCGUAUAGGAAGAAGGUUUUCGGAUUGUAAAUUAUUGUCGUGAGGGAAGAAAUUGACAGUACCUCAGGAGGAAGCUCCGGCUAACUAUGUGCCAGCAGCCGCGGUAAUACAUAGGGAGCAAGCGUUAUCCGGAUUUAUUGGGUGUAAAGGGUGCGUAGACGGGAAAUUAAGUUAGUUGUGAAAUCCCUCGGCUUAACUGAGGAACUGCAACUAAAACUGGUUUUCUUGAGUACUGGAGAGGAAAGUGGAAUUCCUAGUGUAGCGGUGAAAUGCGUAGAUAUUAGGAGGAACACCAGUGGCGAAGGCGACUUUCUGGACAGUAACUGACGUUGAGGCACGAAAGUGUGGGGAGCAAACAGGAUUAGAUACC
Molecule: ribosomal RNA, 414 nt
Filed under: uncultured bacterium
Lineage: Bacteria
Description: bacterial SSU rRNA
Rfam family: Bacterial small subunit ribosomal RNA
Source: RNAcentral